Musca vetustissima is the source of this 191-nucleotide small nuclear RNA. RefSeq annotates it as U2 spliceosomal RNA. The transcript has a single exon. NCBI's taxonomy places the organism in Eukaryota, Metazoa, Arthropoda, Insecta, Diptera, Muscidae. The record is from RefSeq and is a predicted model, not a curated record.
AUCGCUUCCCCGCCUUAUGGCUAAGAUCAAAGUGUAGUAUCUGUUUUUAUCAGCUUAACAUCUGAUAUAUCCUCCACCGGAGGACAACAAAUUUUAAACUGAUUUUUGGAUAUUGACGGAAGGGGCUGGCUCCACUUCUGGCGCGGGUUGGCCUGGUAUUGCAGUACCGCCGGGAUUUUGGCCCAUCCUAC